UCGAGCUAGACCACCGCCCCACCGCAUAUAUUUUUCAAUAGAUGCGAGCGGUUUCCGCUGAACGCCGACUAGCGGGCGGUGAUUGGCGACGUGCUGGACGGCGAUGUGCUCGGCGAAGAAUUCUCAUCGGAUGAUUCCCUCACUCCCCUGUCCAUCUCUCCCUCGUCCUCUCGUGCGACUCAGAGGCCGACAGCGGCAGCGGUGAUGGAGCGUACAACGAUUCUUCACCGGUGACCAAUCCCAAAUCUAUCCCACUGCUCAGUCGAAUAAGGCGCUUGCGACAACCAACAUUCACCGAACCAGAUUUUCCAUUCCCUCGACAGCCGGCUCCGGCACAGGAAUGAAGGUCAUGGUCGGCGCUGCAUAUCCAGAAGCUAUGCCACGGCCGCCUACAGUUCCACCCAGGCUAGCUGAUUUGCAUGCAUGUUUGAUUUCUGAUCUCUUUCCAAUCUGUCCUGUUCAUUCUAUUUUAUACGGUCAUAUGUUAGCUAGGCUCUGAGUGCACCAUGUAUCCAUAGUUGCAAAACAAUUCUUGAGAUUUCCUUGGUAAAAUUUCUGGAAUAUUUUAGUUGUACAUAAUAUUGGCUGCGCCAUCAUAACCAUUUGUUUACCCCCCUAGUAUAAAAAUACCAAAGUAAGGUUUCUAUACAUACAUACGAGAAAGCACCUCUUUAAUUAGUAAUUUGCUGGUAGAAACAUCGAUCUGUUAUUACUGGACAUGAAGUAGCUUUUACAAAUGCUAUAGGUAAUUGCGUGGAAAUUGAUCUGAGAAAUUGUUGUCGAGAUAGGUAAUUACUUGAGAACAGUUGCUCUUUAAGAUUUCUUGAGCUUUAUUCCGGAUGCUCAAGUGAAGCAAUUGCUUCUCACUGAAGGGUCUAUUUUUUUCUUGGACGGGUCAGGUUGUUCCUGUUUUCUCUUUAUUCAGAUGUACCUUGGAUUUGUAAAUCAGAAAGUGUGAUGCUCAACGAGAUUCAGGUCGCGCUAAGACAUCAACAAUCAGUGACAAGCCUCCACUAUCUAUUGCAAAAAUGAAGAACCGGGUUGAUUGCUUAUCCUCAUCCCGGUGAUUUGGUCCCCGCAAAAAAAAAAGAAUAUGAUUUUGGGCGAAUAGGACCUGACUAGCUUCUAACUCUGCUGAACUGUAUUGAUCAUAGUGUUAAACUAUUUUUUCUUUUGCUCUUCUAAAGGCCAUUUGCAAUGAUUCAUAAUUUUCCAGAGGAGAUGGCUCAGUUGAAAAUUAUGUUCAGUUUCUUUAUUCUUAUGCUAAUUCUCUGUCCAUUUGUAAGACGGCUGGUGAUGUUCAGAAUAAUAAGCGAAGUGCAGAAUGAAAUUAAUGGGGCCGAGAUUAGCGGUUUCCUUUCCUUUUCCCUGGGAAGGCGAAUAGGAAGGCGACUUUGUCCCCUCGAUCUGCCGCCGGCCAGGCCGGUGGUUCCUUCCCUCUCCGUCUGCCGCUCCCACGACGGGAGAGGGGCGGGAACCCCAGUCCUGUGCUUCCGGUAUGUAGAUAGUAGGGUAGUGGUUCCCGGAGUUGCCGUCAUGGUGGGGGUGGCGGCGUCGGUGUGGAAUAAAGAUGUUGGUGGUUCCCCCUCAUCCCAGCGAAGCCUUUGCCGGAACCGGCGAACUGUCGGCUUUAGGUGCUCUCGGAUCCUUCGAUAUGGUGAGCUUUGGUGCUCCGAGCAAAGCGCUGGAUCUGCCAGCGCAGGUUUGUGGUCACUGGAUCUUUGCAGGUUCUUCUCCUCAACGGUGAAUUGGUAACGGUGACUACAGUAGACUGUUUAAGCAACUAAGCAACUCAAGUCCCAUGGCGAUUACAAAUCAUGAGUGGCUGCUGCACUAUUCUUGUAUGUUCUUCUAUUUUCCAUGGAAGCAUUCAAUCAUAUUUGUUUUUUCUCACAGCAGUUUAUAUACCUCUCCAUGGAUCAUUCAGGUGUACAAAUAUGGAUUUUCACUUUUGACCUGCAGUAUUUGACGGUCUCUAUGUGGAGGGUUUCAGAACUUUCUCUAGGUGCAGACCGGAUUAGUAGCGGUACAUGCUUGCAACUAGCAAAAAUUGCAAGAUGCAGGGUUGCGUUUUCUCUUUCCAAUGCAUGGUGGAUGACCGCUAAUGUAUGUGGGAUAUGGAUGUCUUCAUAUUUGUGGUGGGUACAAGUAAUGUUAAAUUGAAAUUUGAGGCCCUCUUUUCAUUACAACCAGUAGCAAAAUUUAGGUUUUGGUGAGAAGAAAGGUGAACCUAAUGGCUAUAGCACUAUUGAGAAGAAUGUUUCAGUCACUGGAGAAAUUGAGGAACAAAUGAAGUUGAUAGAAGAACAAGCAAUAAAGAUCUAUUAAACAUAUAUAUAGAUUGCUUGGCAAUAAAGAUCGACAUAAAAUAGCAUUACUUGUUUUGGGCAUAGCUAAACGUACAAGCUUAAUACUACUGAAAUUCUAAAAUCUAUUUGUAUGUGUUCGAUCAGAAGUAAUGUUUGGUUUUGUUCAUAGGUUGUCCACUGUUUUGUCAUUCCACCUAACUGAAAGAGAUUGUAAUCGGGUCAACAAAUGGCAUACAUUUUUUUCAGGCAGACAAACCUAUUUUGUUGAAAAUCUGAACUUUGUAGUUCAGUAGCUAUUGUGUAGGUGUAUUUCAAUCUUAUGGCUUUUUUUUGCUUGAGAUUCGUAUAUACUGUAAUGAUGUUGAGUUUGUUCACAUUAACCUAUGUUCCUAUUUUGCUGAGCUAUCCACUGAAAUUUGCUUAAUUUCUUCUUGAUUCCUCGUGUUUACUACCACUGUACCACUAGAUUUGAUAUGUUUUUAUUUAGUUCCA
Triticum aestivum (bread wheat) is the source of this 2801-nucleotide long non-coding RNA. RefSeq lists it as uncharacterized. The transcript is spliced from 3 exons. NCBI's taxonomy places the organism in Eukaryota, Viridiplantae, Streptophyta, Magnoliopsida, Poales, Poaceae. The record is from RefSeq and is a predicted model, not a curated record.